This 484-nucleotide ribosomal RNA is filed under the name uncultured bacterium. RNAcentral describes it as "partial 16S ribosomal RNA". It matches the Rfam family "Bacterial small subunit ribosomal RNA", at positions 30 to 507 of the family's 1533-position model. The record is from RNAcentral.
AUUGGACGCUGGCGGCAGGCCUAACACAUGCAAGUCGAGCGGAUGAAGGGAGCUUGCUCCUGGAUUCAGCGGCGGACGGGUGAGUAAUGCCUAGGAAUCUGCCUGGUAGUGGGGGAUAACGUCCGGAAACGGGCGCUAAUACCGCAUACGUCCUGAGGGAGAAAGUGGGGGAUCUUCGGGCCUCACGCUAUCAGAUGAGCCUAGGUCGGAUUAGCUAGUUGGUGGGGUAAAGGCCUACCAAGGCGACGAUCCGUAACUGGUCUGAGAGGAUGAUCAGUCACACUGGAACUGAGACACGGUCCAGACUCCUACGGGAGGCAGCAGUGGGGAAUAUUGGACAAUGGGCGAAAGCCUGAUCCAGCCAUGCCGCGUGUGUGAAGAAGGUCUUCGGAUUGUAAAGCACUUUAAGUUGGGAGGAAGGGCAGUAAGUUAAUACCUUGCUGUUUUGACGUUACCAACAGAAUAAGCACCGGCUAACUUCGUG